This 150-nucleotide ribosomal RNA is filed under the name Thelenota ananas. Its description in RNAcentral is "partial 5.8S ribosomal RNA". It matches the Rfam family "5.8S ribosomal RNA". From Rfam's summary of the family: 5.8S ribosomal RNA (5.8S rRNA) is a component of the large subunit of the eukaryotic ribosome. It is transcribed by RNA polymerase I as part of the 45S precursor that also contains 18S and 28S rRNA. RNAcentral also lists the same sequence under 1 other name. The record is from RNAcentral. Lineage: Eukaryota; Metazoa; Echinodermata; Holothuroidea; Aspidochirotida; Stichopodidae.
AGUUGAUCACUCGGCUCGUGCGUCGAUGAAGAACGCAGUUAGAUGCGAGAAUUCAUGUGAAUUGCAGAACUCACUGAUCAUCGACUUAUUCGAACGCAAAUGGCGGCUCGGGGAUGCUUUGCUCCUCGAGCCACGUCCGUCUGAGCGUCU